Gorilla gorilla gorilla (western lowland gorilla) is the source of this 148-nucleotide non-coding RNA. It matches the Rfam family "Metazoan signal recognition particle RNA". From Rfam's summary of the family: The signal recognition particle (SRP) is a universally conserved ribonucleoprotein. It is involved in the co-translational targeting of proteins to membranes. NCBI's taxonomy places the organism in Eukaryota, Metazoa, Chordata, Mammalia, Primates, Hominidae. The record is from Rfam.
GCCGGGCAUGGUGGUGCAUGCCUGUAAUCCCAGCUACUCAGGAGGCUGAGGCAGGAGAAUUGCUUGAACCCGGGAGGUGAAGGUUGCAGUGAGUUGAGAUCAUGUUACUGCACUCCAGCCUGGGUGAGAGAGUAAGACUCUGUCUCAA